GGUAUUGUCAAAAUUUUGAUACUACAAGCUCUUGCUUUUCAUGGUCAUGAUGAGUCUACUAGCUCAAUGAAUAAGGGUAACUUCAAAGAGUUGUUGGACUUGUUUAGAAAGAAAGACCCAAAGGUGGCAAAAUUAUUUGGGGAUGCAGGAGAUAACCAUAAGCUGACUUCACAUAAGAUACAAUUGGAUUUAUGCAAGGCUUGUGUAAAAGAUACCACCAAUGUCAUUCUUGAGGAGAUUGGAGAUAGUAAAUUUGCAUUACUUGUUGAUGAGUCAAGAGAUGCAUCUAUGAAGGAGCAAAUGGCUAUGUGUUUGAGGUAUCUCGGCAAACAAGGGGAGGUGAUUGAGAGAUUCAUGGCAGUUGAGCAUAUUCCUGACACGAGAGCAACUUCCCUGAAGAUAGCUUUGAAUGGUAUGUUUGGUACUCUUGGUUUAUCUAUGUCUAAUUUGAGAGGGCAUGGUUAUGAUGGGGCUUCAAACAUGAGAGGGGAAUUUCGUGGGUUGCAAAGAUUGAUCUUGGAGGAAAAUCCUUAUGCUCAUUAUAUACAUUGUUUUGCCCAUCAGUUACAAUUAGUGGUUGUUGCUGUUGCCAAGUGUUGUUCAUUAGUAAGGGAUUUUUUUUAGUACACAAGCAUGGUUGUUAACAUUGUUAAUGCAUCUUGUACAAGACAUGAUCAGUUAGCCCAAGAGCAACAUGAUGAAAUAGUGCGCCAAAUAGAGGCUGGGGAACUUCUUGAGGGAAGAAGGAAAAACCAAUUAACUAACCUUUCAAGACCCGAUGAUAUUUCCCAAAGAACCACACGCGCGGGGUUGAUAAAGCACAUGGAGUCCUUCGAAUUUGUUCUCAUAUCGCAUCUUAUGAUUAGAUUAUUGGGCAAGACUAACAAUCUGUCACAAUGCUUGCAAUUGAAAAAUCGUAAUAUUGUACGUGUUGUGGGAUUGAUUAAAACCACAUUAGAUAAUAUUCAAGAGAUAAGGCAGAAUGGUUGGGAUGAGCUCUUUAAAGAGGUAACAGACUUUUAUGUCAAAUACAACAUUGUAGUGCCAAAUAUGUAAGAUACAAGAACUGCGAAUGGACGUUCAAGGACUCAGGGUGGGCAAUUGGUAACUUACAACCAUCAUUUAAAAGAAAUAUUCAAUUUGUUUCAUGAUCAACUUAUUGUGGAGUUAAACAACCGCUUUGCUGAAAGGUCUACUCAAUUGUUUAGAUGCAUUGCUUGUCUUCAUCCCAAGAAUUAUUUUGCCAAUUAUAAUGAAGACAAGCUAGUAGAUCUUGCUAAUAUGUAUGCUACUGACUUUUCUACAUAUGAAGUUACUUUUGUCCUUAAACCAAUAGACUCAUUCAUUCGGGAAGCAAGAGCUGGUCCACAUUUGAUGAAUUGCAAUGAUCUUGGUCAUCUUGCCAUUAAUAUGGUUAAAAGUGAUAUGCACACAACUUUUCCCUUGGUUUACCGUCUUGCUGAGUUAGCAUUGAUUUUACCUGUUGCAACCGCAAUAGUGGAAAGAGCAUUCUAAGCAAUGAGCAUUAUCAAGACUGGAUUGAGGAACAAAAUCGGUGAUGAUUGGAUGAAUCAUAGAAUGGUAUGUUAUAUUGAGCGAGAUGUAUUUGUCCGUAUUGAAGAAUCAAAGAUCAUCGAGUGAUUUCAAGGUUAUCACACACGUAAAGGUGUUUUGCCUCGUCCUAUAUGUGAGUUCUCACAUUUUGCAUGUAUCAUUAACUAG
RNAcentral lists this ribosomal RNA (1722 nucleotides) under Triticum aestivum (bread wheat). RNAcentral's name for it is "partial small subunit ribosomal RNA". The record is from RNAcentral. Lineage: Eukaryota; Viridiplantae; Streptophyta; Magnoliopsida; Poales; Poaceae.